GAUGAAGAAUGCGGGCUGAAAUUGAUAUUGAGGUUGCUCAUUGAUGACAUGACCAUAGGUUUUCAAGGCCUUAUGCUCUUUAUAUGUUGUUGCAAGAGAUAAGGACCCGUGGGUGAGUGCUGCCACUGGCUUGGAGCUUGUGCUUGGCCCUAAGGCAAGACCUGGGACGGUUGAUGCAGCAGCCAUUGGCCACACAAAGACUAUCUAAACAUGGUAUUGAGACAUUAAAAUUCCUAAAUAUAUAUAUAUAUAUAUAUGGGAUUGUGGUUUGUGAAAGAGAACAAAGGAUAAAGGUCCGUGUCUUGUGCUUUGGCAUGAAGUAAGGAACUACUCUUAGGUAUAUCUGCCCCUGCCUUGGCCUGUAAUCAAAGAACCACUGAGCUUAUGUAAUACUUUUUCAGGUGUUAGGCUUUCCAUGGAAACCAUUUUGGCCACUUUUGUAUUUAUCAAACCACAUUCCACAUAUAGAAGGUAGUAGGUAUAAGUGUUGUGCGUUAGUGGUGGGGUUUUGUUUUUAACUGAAAAAAAAAAAAAAAAAAAAAAGAAAAAAGAAAAAAAGAA
Molecule: long non-coding RNA, 561 nt
Organism: Cornus florida
Lineage: Eukaryota; Viridiplantae; Streptophyta; Magnoliopsida; Cornales; Cornaceae
Exons: 2
Source: RefSeq, a predicted model, not a curated record